GACAGAGGGUGCAAACGUUGUUCGGAAUUACUGGGCGUAAAGCGCGUGUAGGCGGCAGCGUGUGUCGGGCGUGAAAUCCCACGGCUCAACCGUGGAAGUGCACCCGAAACUGCGCAGCUAGAGUCCUGGAGAGGAAGGCGGAAUACUUGGUGUAGAGGUGAAAUUCGUAGAUAUCAAGUGGAAUACCGGUGGCGAAGGCGGCCUUCUGGACAGUGACUGACGCUGAGACGCGAAAGCGUGGGGAGCAAACAGG
RNAcentral lists this ribosomal RNA (253 nucleotides) under uncultured bacterium. RNAcentral's name for it is "partial 16S ribosomal RNA". It matches the Rfam family "Bacterial small subunit ribosomal RNA", at positions 524 to 776 of the family's 1533-position model. The record is from RNAcentral.